AGCCCUCUGUAUCCGUACUGAGAUUUUGUCAGCGACCAACCCGUUGUGGCUGAUGGUACUUUGCAAAUAAGUGAAGCG
Molecule: microRNA precursor, 78 nt
Filed under: Trichobilharzia regenti
Lineage: Eukaryota; Metazoa; Platyhelminthes; Trematoda; Strigeidida; Schistosomatidae
Description: mir-3492 microRNA precursor family
Rfam family: mir-3492 microRNA precursor family
Source: Rfam by way of RNAcentral